AAGGCCGAUGGCGACCGGCGCACGGGUGAGUAACACGUAUCCAACCUGCCGUCUACUCUUGGACAGCCUUCUGAAAGGAAGAUUAAUACAAGAUGGCAUCAUGAGUUCGCAUGUUCACAUGAUUAAAGGUAUUCCGGUAGACGAUGGGGAUGCGUUCCAUUAGAUAGUAGGCGGGGUAACGGCCCACCUAGUCUUCGAUGGAUAGGGGUUCUGAGAGGAAGGUCCCCCACAUUGGAACUGAGACACGGUCCAAACUCCUACGGGAGGCAGCAGUGAGGAAUAUUGGUCAAUGGGCGCAGGCCUGAACCAGCCAAGUAGCGUGAAGGAUGACUGCCCUAUGGGUUGUAAACUUCUUUUAUAAAGGAAUAAAGUCGGGUAUGUAUACCCGUUUGCAUGUACUUUAUGAAUAAGGAUCGGCUAACUCCGUGCCAGCAGCCGCGGUAAUACGGAGGAUCCGAGCGUUAUCCGGAUUUAUUGGGUUUAAAGGGAGCGUAGAUGGAUGUUUAAGUCAGUUGUGAAAGUUUGCGGUUCAACCGUAAAAUUGCAGUUGAUACUGGAUAUCUUGAGUGCAGUUGAGGCAGGCGGAAUUCGUGGUGUAGCGGUGAAAUGCUUAGAUAUCACGAAGAACUCCGAUUGCGAAG
This 641-nucleotide ribosomal RNA is filed under the name uncultured Bacteroidales bacterium. RNAcentral's name for it is "bacterial SSU rRNA". It matches the Rfam family "Bacterial small subunit ribosomal RNA", at positions 81 to 720 of the family's 1533-position model. Lineage: Bacteria; Pseudomonadati; Bacteroidota; Bacteroidia; Bacteroidales. The record is from RNAcentral.